UACGGAAGGGGCUAGCGUUGUUCGGAAUUACUGGGCGUAAAGCGCGCGUAGGCGGCUUUUCAAGUUAGGUGUGAAAGCCCUGGGCUCAACCUAGGAAUUGCACUUAAGACUGAAAGGCUAGGGUCCGAGAGAGGGUGGUGGAAUUCCCAGUGUAGAGGUGAAAUUCGUAGAUAUUGGGAGGAACACCGGUGGCGAAAGCGGCCACCUGGCUCGGUACCGACGCUCAAGUGCGAAAGCGUGGGGAGCAAACAGG
RNAcentral lists this ribosomal RNA (253 nucleotides) under uncultured bacterium. RNAcentral describes it as "partial 16S ribosomal RNA". It matches the Rfam family "Bacterial small subunit ribosomal RNA", at positions 524 to 776 of the family's 1533-position model. The record is from RNAcentral.